GACGAACGCUGGCGGCGUGCUUCAUACAUGCAAGUCGAGCGAGGAACGAUUAAGAGCUUGCUUUUGAUCGGAUCCUAGUGGCGAACGGGUGAGUAACGCGUGAGCAACCUGUCUUUCAGAGGGGGAUAACAACGAGAAAUCGUUGCUAAUACCGCAUAAGACCACACUGUCGCAUGGCAGAGGGGUAAAAGGAGCAAUCCGCUGAUUGAGGGGCUCGCGUCCCAUUAGAUAGUAGGUGAGGUAACGGCUCACCUAGUCUGCGAUGGGUAGCCGAGCUGAGAGGCUGAACGGCCACACUGGAACUGAGACACGGUCCAGACUCCUACGGGAGGCAGCAGUGGGGAAUAUUGGGCAAUGGGCGAAAGCCUGACCCAGCAACGCCGCGUGAGGGAAGAAGGUCUUCGGAUUGUAAACCUCUGUUCUUGGUGACGAAAAGAUGACGGUAGCCAAGGAGAAAGCCCCGGCUAACUACGUGCCAGCAGCCGCGGUAAA
Molecule: ribosomal RNA, 492 nt
Filed under: uncultured bacterium
Lineage: Bacteria
Description: bacterial SSU rRNA
Rfam family: Bacterial small subunit ribosomal RNA
Source: RNAcentral